This 470-nucleotide ribosomal RNA is filed under the name uncultured bacterium. RNAcentral describes it as "bacterial SSU rRNA". It matches the Rfam family "Bacterial small subunit ribosomal RNA", at positions 335 to 800 of the family's 1533-position model. The record is from RNAcentral.
ACUCCUACGGGAGGCAGCAGUGAGGAAUAUUGGACAAUGGGCGGGAGCCUGAUCCAGCCAUGCCGCGUGCAGGAAGACUGCCCUAUGGGUUGUAAACUGCUUUUAUACGGGAAGAAACACUCCCUCGUGAGGGAAUUUGACGGUACCGUAAGAAUAAGGAUCGGCUAACUCCGUGCCAGCAGCCGCGGUAAUACGGAGGAUCCAAGCGUUAUCCGGAAUCAUUGGGUUUAAAGGGUCCGUAGGUGGACGAUUAAGUCAGAGGUGAAAUCUUGCAGCUCAACUGUAAAAAUUGCCUUUGAUACUGGUUGUCUUGAGUUAUUAUGAAGUGGUUAGAAUAUGUAGUGUAGCGGUGAAAUGCAUAGAUAUUACAUAGAAUACCAAUUGCGAAGGCAGAUCACUAAUAAUAUACUGACACUGAUGGACGAAAGCGUGGGUAGCGAACAGGAUUAGAUACCCUGGUAGGAUAGCGU